GCAAAGUAGAAUAAACGCGUCAAGUGUUGCGAAACGGGAUGUUGUUCGCAAACGAAAGCGGGAAACCGCUGCGGUGUUUAUUCGCGUCCGUUG
Molecule: non-coding RNA, 93 nt
Filed under: pig gut metagenome
Description: THF riboswitch
Rfam family: THF (Tetrahydrofolate) riboswitch aptamer
About the family: THF riboswitch presents a pseudoknot that joins P1-P2 and the loop of P3 and two THF binding.
Source: RNAcentral